Pogoniulus pusillus (Red-fronted tinkerbird) is the source of this 3723-nucleotide long non-coding RNA. RefSeq lists it as uncharacterized. NCBI's taxonomy places the organism in Eukaryota, Metazoa, Chordata, Aves, Piciformes, Lybiidae. The transcript is spliced from 2 exons. The record is from RefSeq and is a predicted model, not a curated record.
AGGGAAAUAAAGGACUCAAGGAUCUGGAUCCAGCUCAGAAGAACUGAGGGCAGUGUUGUUACAGGUCUUGUUGCCCGAAAACCUCUUUUGGGUCUUACAUUUCUGAUGAAGCCUGUUCAGAUCACUUGCACAGCAGCCUGAUCUCAACAUCAAUGGAAAUUCCAGCUGAACUUUGGCCAAGAAGGGACAGAACAAUAUGAGAGACAUGGAUCUUCAUGAAGCUCCUGCUGCAGCGGAGGCUCCACAGUGUUUGCAGCCUUUGCUUUUUAUCACCAGAAGUCCCAGGGGAGGUUCAAGGUAGGAUCCUUGCCAUCUCAGCUCAGCAAUCACAGAAAGCCAAAUAAAUAAAGCAGGAAGUUGGCAAAGCCCUGAUUCAGCAAAGGCACAAGAACAAGUUCAGCAUUAACCUCUGCUUAAGAUGAUUUGGAGCAGAAGAGUUAACCUCAGGGCUGUCCAAAAGGCAGAGCAGGAACCUAAGACCUUGACAGCAGUGCUUUAAAUCUGAGAAGGGGCUUCAGGAUGAGGAAUUUCUUAGACAUGGGAGAAGAAUGGUCCCUGGCAUGAGGACAUUUCUGUUUGUGGCCAGAUGUGGUGGCCUGGCACUGAUGCCCUUAGGAGGGAUGAUAUUUGUGUUGCAAUGUCUGCUAAUGGUGAGUCUGGAGGAGGCUGCUGUGGGGACCCAGCACCAGCUCCUCACUCACAUCCCCUUGCUGGGAUGCUGGGCAGUGGUGAGGAGCUGGAGAACGUGGUGAGGUGUUAGGGCAGCAGCUCAGUGAUGGGCUGCCAGUGCUCACACUGCCCGGCAAGCGCUGCUGGCAUCCACCCCCAGCACCACUGCGUUGGCAGAGCCUCCCUGAUGUGAGAAGGACUGGGGAUGGUUGGCAAGGGUCAAGGUGGAGCAAAAUCCCUCUGCUGGUGAGGGAUGUGGAGAUCUGCCUGCUCUGGGUGAGUGGUUUCACCAGGAGAGAGUAGGGAAAUGAGUGGAGGAUGCCUUCUGCAGGGGUGGCUUUGCAGCCUAAGUGUGUGUGGCAGCCCAGGAGGAGGGAGCAUGAUGCUCUCCAAGCACAAAGUCUCCUUGGACAGACGGCUGCAGGCUCGGGCUGGGUGUUGGUGAGACACAGCUGCCACCAGCCCAGCUCAGCAAGCCCUGUCUCUCCUGAGCUCUUCAUGCUUAUCUGAUCUGCUCCUCUGUAAUGAUGUGGUUGGAAUGAAAUUAUGGAGCUUUAAUGUAGUUACAGCUGCAUCUACCAGGCACAGCUCUUCCUGAUGUACGGCGCUGGAAUUUAAGAUAUGGCCACAGGCUGCAGAUGACUUCUUGUCUCCAAGGCAUGCUGCAGCCUUCCCACGUGUUGCACCAGGCCCUGGCCAGGAAGGCAAACUUAGGAGUCCAGUUCACAUCUGCUGCUGGAUAGCCAUUGAAGGCUAAAGCCAGGGUGGGGGGACCAAGGAGCUUUGGUGACGGCCACUGUGUUGAGUGUGCAAGGCUCUUGAUGCAUGCUGCAGUACCAUGAUGCUGUGGUGGGGCCAGCUGGAGACCACAGCCCCUUGCAUGGACAAACUCCUGCAGCUGGGUCUAGGGACUUCUCUCUUUGCUUUUCAUCUGCAGGAAAAUACCUUCAAAGGUGCAUGGAUGAGGGGCUGGCCUUUAAGACCUACUGAAGAUCUGUGCUGAGGUGGUCUAAAGCUUCAGGGAAACUUUCUUGCUUUGUGACUCCUUUGUUGUGAACUUAAUGGUCACAGAAUUUGCUGGAUCAGCAGUAAGAGUUGAUUAACAACAAACUACUCGGCUUUCUGAAGUCAGACAAAAAUUGGUGGGUUUGCCAUUUCCAGUCUGCCAGAGGUGCAGGCAUGUGCAAACUUCUGGGCUGUUGGCCAGAGGAGCCAACAGCUCAGCUAAAGGGUACCUGUCCUCUGAGUGAGGGCACGUGGUGGGACAUGUCCUCCACAUGCCUGGCAGCCAGGCACAUCCAAAACAUUGCCUGUUCUCCUCAUCAGAUCAGCCACUGGAUGCAGAUUCUUUGAGACAUAACCACGCAGCAGAGAUGAUCUGCAGAGCAAUUACCCCUGCAGACUAAAUGAGUCCCUCUGCCUUGUCCCUGGGCCUCAGCAUAUCUAGGCUCCUAUCCCUGGGGCAGUGUGGUGUGUCCAGAUCUCACAGUGGGCUCCCCCAGGUAACCCCUGUUAGUGGGGGUGACCUUGCCCACCACCCCCAGAGGCUGAGCUUUGCUCACCAGCCCUUUGGGGUGCUGUGCCUGUUGGUGAUGCACACCUACAAUGCCCUCCAGGGAAGGGCUUGUUUUGCCUCCCCACCGCUCGGCUUCAGACCUGCGAAUCUGAGGUGCAUCUGCUUCUAUCUAACCGUGUGCCUGUGUUUAUAGCACUGCUGCUGGGGCUCAUCUUGCAGUAAUUCUCCUUGGAUGCUCUUGCUUUUCUCCUGCAGUCAAUUUUUUUCUUGACUGACACGGGACUGAUAAUGAAUGUGGCUUCAGCACCGAGAGAUCGGCCUGGCUCAGCUCAUUCCACCUCUCCUGGUUUUGAGCAAGAAUGUGAGGACUUGCUGUGUCUCUUUUAGAUUCCAUCAUGAAAGGAAUAAUUGAGAUUGAGAUUCUUAGUCACUCAAUGCAGAAGGUCAGGGAAUUAAUGCUGUGUUACAUCCAGGCCAUUCAUUUACUCUGCCUCCUUGGUUGUUUUGGGUUGGGUUUUUUUUUUCCCUUAACUGUCUGUAGAGGAAAACAAAUGUGCCACAGAGAAGGUAACACAUCUUCAAUGCUGCACACACCCCCAGCCUCUGGUAAUACACACUGUUUGUCUUUAUUUUGGGGGUGUUCCAGGGUAGUUUUAUCAUCAUAAUUGAUUAAUGGCGACAGGGGGAAAAAAAAAAUCCAGGAGUAACAGGAAGAAAUGAUUCCAGUGAAUCCAUUGAGUCGGUCCUAGCAUUGAUCUGCUCCUGGGAAUUAUUUAUAGAGAAGAUUCAUAGUUAGUAAUAUUAGUUUGGACUUCUGGAACGGUCUGUCAGAGGAUCUUAAAGGCCUCUGGUAACAGUUAAUCAGACAGACAAAUAAGGUAGACAGCCUCAUCUUAGGAGAGGGAAGGAAAUGGGAUUCCUGGCAUGACCCUGGCGAUGAGUAUUGGUGGCCCGACAAGAGCAUCACCCGCAAGAGAUGGUGGCACUGCCUGGGCUCGUCAGUGUCUUCUUGCACCACAGCCAUAGAAGCAGCACAAGGAUUUUCUGCUGCUGGUGUCUCUUGCACCAGGGCAUGAUGCUGGCCAAAUGCUGGUGGCCUUGCUGGAGAAGGUCAAAGGGAGCAGAGGGCUGCUACAAAGCAAAGUGAGAGGCAGCACAGGGAACAAGGCAGGAUUGGCAGCGGCUGCCAGCCGGAGUAGUGAAAGGAAGGUCCUUGAGAAAAUCCACACUAAACCCUCUGCGAGCCAAAGAAAAGGUGGCUGCAGGAUGGGCACCUGAGCCAGAGCCAGCAGGGACAAACCCAAACCUUUUCUUCCUCUGCCUCCCCUCCUCAUUUUGUUUUUGUUUUUAACUUAAUUGAUCUGUAUCUUGCAAUCCUACCCGCAGGAGAGAUGACACAUCUGAGAAAAGCAGGAGCAUUUCUUUCAAGUGGUCUGCUUGGGUGUUGUGGUUCUUUUUUCAUUCCUGGUGUGUGUAUAUAUAUAGAAUUGCCUGGAAGUAGUAAAUAGAAUUAAACAUUGUAGUUCUGAAAAACAAAA